AGGCGACACAAGAGUGUGAGUACUGAGGCGUCUCUUCUUGGGGGGCCCCGACAGGGCAGAUCCCACAGCUACUGGUUGGUUACACCGGCUGCCUACGCUCACAAGUCAAUGUCAACAGAACACAAUGCUGACCACUAGGUGGCGGGGUUGUAAAGCCAAAGACCCAAGGCAGACAGACUCCAGAGCCAGAAUCUCCAGUCCGAACCAAGAGAUCACAGCAAAGCUCACUUUAUGACAACUUUGAAGGAAACUUCCUUCACUUGACAGGAGCUGCUUAUCUGAUGCAUAAGCUGAAGAAAAAUACGCAAACAAGACUGAAUGUAACACAGGAAAUUAAAAACAUCAAACAAGACUCCUCAAAUGCGGAUCGCGUUCUCUUGAUCACUUCAAGGGGCUUUGCUGAAGUGUCAUUUUUUUGUUGUUGUUGUUGUUGUUUUGUUUUU
Long non-coding RNA from Hyaena hyaena (striped hyena), 443 nucleotides. RefSeq lists it as uncharacterized. The record is from RefSeq and is a predicted model, not a curated record. The transcript has 3 exons. Lineage: Eukaryota; Metazoa; Chordata; Mammalia; Carnivora; Hyaenidae.